GACGAACGCUGGCGGCGCGCUUAACACAUGCAAGUCGAACGGAAAGGCCUGCUUUCCCUUGUGGAUUGCGGGUACUCGAGUGGCGAACGGGUGAGUAACACGUGAGUGAUCUGCCCCCAACUUGGGUAUAAGCCUGGGAAACUGGGUCUAAUUCCCGAUAGGACUGCAGGGUGGUGCCUGUGGUGGAAAACGAUUUUCUAGUGGUUGGGGAUGAGCUCGCGGCCUAUCAGCUUGUUGGUGGGGUAAUGGCCUACCAAGGCGGCGACGGGUGGCCGGCCUGGGAGGGUGGACGGCCACAUUGGGACUGAGAUACGGCCCAGACUCCUACGGGAGGCAGCAGUGGGGAAUAUUGCACAAUGGGCGGAAGCCUGAUGCAGCGACGCCGCGUGGGGGAUGACGGCCUUCGGGUUGUAAACUCCUUUCGACCGCGAGGAAGCCACCUGGUUGGAAGGGUGGUGACGGUAGUGGUAGAAGAAGCACCGGCUAACUACGUG
This 494-nucleotide ribosomal RNA is filed under the name uncultured bacterium. RNAcentral describes it as "partial 16S ribosomal RNA". It matches the Rfam family "Bacterial small subunit ribosomal RNA", at positions 28 to 507 of the family's 1533-position model. The record is from RNAcentral.